CUCUCUCUCUCUCUGUGUGCGCGCACACUUUGAUUUUUCAUUUCUUAGCUAAUACUCUGCUGUGAGCAGUGAGAUUGUUACAACUAUAGCCUCUGCGUUAACCUUGAUGAGCCUUUUCAUAUUGUGUGUCAUAUGACAUCUUUCUUAAGAUCUUUACUUAAUCUAGGCUUUUGUACCAAUACUUUUAUGGGCUGCCGUUGGCUAUGACCAAUCACUUUUUUUCUGGUUUUGAGCCAAUGAUUCAGCAAUUUGCAAAUGUAGGGUGUCAACUGCCAUGAAAGCAUCCAAUCUUGUUAGUUGUAACCCAAAACUGAGUUUUCACAAGACAGAACUUUGAUUGUUUCUAGAAAUCAGAAUCCUCUUAUUUCUAGUAGUUUUAAGCAUACCCUGUAGCACGUGGUGUCCCCAUCAAUUUGAAGGCCAACUGAUGUGGGAUGUCAAUAUUUGGAAUUUGGGCUUGAUGCCUAAAUGAGAAUGACGCAUUAAAAAAUCUAACCAGCUUUUUGUCAUUCGUGGUCUUGAACUAUGAAAAGACUAGGGGAGAUGAGUUAAGGAAGCAGAAAAACAGGCGAAAUUUAUCAUAUUUAAAUUUAGUAAAUGUUUAAAAAAUUUUAGUAGACUGCAAAAUCUAGUACCUCUUUUAUUAUUACUGAUAAUGAAUAAAUUAUGAAAAAAAAAUGAUGUAGAUCACUUUAAUAAUACUAGACUUUAGCAGUUAUGCUCUCCAUCAUGGUAAGGAGUAUUGUCAUGAGAAAAGCAACCUUCAUAUUUGAAUUAUGUGCCACAUCAAAUUUGUCUAAUUUGGAUCUCGCUAGCUAGAGAAGGGGAUAAUCCCUGUAGAUGCUUUUC
RNAcentral lists this unclassified non-coding RNA (849 nucleotides) under Hevea brasiliensis (rubber tree). The record is from RNAcentral. Lineage: Eukaryota; Viridiplantae; Streptophyta; Magnoliopsida; Malpighiales; Euphorbiaceae.